GGCCGCGUUCGAGGAGUCGUCGCGUGAAAAUGCCGGGGAACACCUUGCGGCCGCACGAUCGUCGCGUGUGAUCGUUCGCAGCAUGUGAACCCCCGCGAGUACACCUACAAUUGGAGCACCUAUCGGCGAUCGGGAAGCUUAUUGGGGAAUCGAAGAUUAUACUUGACGACGCAAAAUGGAGACAUCACUCGUGAUCCUCGGCGAGAAAAACCUCUCGAGAUGUCGCGAAAACGUCGAACGCGGCGGCGUCCUUCAGUAUAUCUGAAGGGGAGAUGCACUUUGCGAAGAUGCACGGGUGAUACAGGACAGGCUCCGACAAAAUGUUGAUCAAGGAGUAUCGCAUACCGUUGCCUCUCACGGUAGAGGAGUAUCGAAUCGCUCAGCUGUACAUGAUAGCGAAAAAAUCUCGGGAGGAGAGCAAGGGUGCCGGUAGCGGCGUGGAGAUAAUCGAGAACGAGCCGUACAGCAAUGGACCAGGCGGUAACGGGCAGUAUACACACAAAAUCUAUCACGUGGGCAGUCAUCUGCCGGGCUGGUUCAAAAGUCUCUUGCCCAAGUCGGCGUUGAUCGCCAAGGAGGAAGCAUGGAACGCCUAUCCGUACACAAAGACCCGCUACACAUGCCCGUUCGUGGGAAAGUUCUCCGUCGAGAUCGAAACUUACUACUUUCCAGACGACGGCCACCAGGAAAACGUUUUCAAUCUCACCGGCAGUGAUUACAGGAACAGGAUCGUGGACAUAAUCGACAUUGUCAAGGAUCAGCCGUAUGGGGCCGACUACGUGAGGGAAGAGGACCCCAAACUGUACGUGUCAGAGAAGACCGGAAGGGGCCCGCUGGAGGAUACAUGGCUGGAAGAUUAUUGGGCCGAUGUGGAAGGAAAGCAACAGCCAACGCCGUCGGGAAAGUCACUAAUGUGCGCGUACAAGCUAUGCCGAGUAGAGUUCCAUUAUUGGGGUAUGCAAACGAAAUUAGAAAAGUUCAUACACGACGUAGCUCUGCGGAAGACAAUGGUGCGGGCGCACAGGCAGGCCUGGGCUUGGCAGGACGAGUGGAACGGUCUGACGAUGGAAGAUAUCAGGGAGAUCGAGCGGCAGACGCAAUUGGCGCUGCAACGGAAGAUGGGUCUCGGUGACUCAGAGGACGAGCUCGAGGACGGUGAGACUCGGAAAGUGAGCGCGACGGCGACAACGACGACAAUGACGUCGAUCACGACGGCAACGGCGACAGCGGCGAACGCGACGAUGAUGUCGGAGGAGUCGGCAGUAGCUAAGACGCUGGCGGCCACCCUGGGCAGCAUCGAGAAGAACGAAGAGGUGCGGAGUCCGCCGUCCGUCAGGAAGCCAUCCGACAUUCCCAUCAUCAAUACAGCGGCCAGUUCCGAGGGCGAGAUUAGUCCCGAGGACUCGCCGAUCGAUUUGGAUGAGAUUAAAAAUGCGGCCGGUGAGAAGACCAAGAAGUGGACAAAGAACAUGCCCGUGCAUUCGCCAAAUACGAAUAAGAACUUCGACAUACAGCUCGCAAAUUGGAGGCUGGAAAGCAUUGUCAGGGAGUCCGAAUCCGGCAGCGACGACGAAUUCUUCGAUUGUCAGGAGGACUUUGAAGAUAGCUCUUCAUUAGCUAAAUGGAGUUCUUUGGAUCUUCUAGCAGAAGGGGAGGAUACGAGCGUGCGGACACCAUCUGCGGCAAACGAGCAAGAGGAUACAAUAUUUUCGCCUUCUUAUCUGCAACGUAUCACUAACGAACGAAGCAGUAGGAGACUGCAGAUCAGCACGUCGGCCAGCAUCGACGUGUCAUGUCCAGCAUCUCCUCAACAUUCUCCUACGCAUCAACCGUGCAAAAUUACUGUUUUAAUUAUUGUGAUACACGGCGGCAGUGUUUUAGAUGCGAAUGUCGAUUUAACGGCAAAAAAGUCAGAUAUAACGACAUUCCGCGGAGCUUUUGAAUCUAUUAUGAGACAGCAUUAUCCUAGCAUGGUCGGCCACGUAUCCAUUAAAUUCGUCGCCUGUCCUUCCAUUUGCACUGAAGGCUUGGGCAUUUUGUCAAGCCUGAGUCCAUACAGCUUUGACAUGUCGCCUUCGUGCAUGGACGCUCCGCAAGUGACGCACGAUACCAUUCCGAUCGGCGCGAUUCCGCUUCUAGCAAGCUCGAGUUCUGAAUAUCAAGACACAGUAUCGCGUGUGGUGAUGAGUGCCAACCAAGUGUACCAUGAUUUCAUUAAGAGCGACGAGGGUAAAGGUUUCAGCGGACAAAUAUGCUUUGUAAGCGACUCAGUAGGGUCGAUCUUGACCUAUGACGCUCUGUGCAAAGCGACACAGCACUCGAGACACAGUAGCGAAAACAGCAUUCUGGAGGGUACCGGUCAGCAGGGCAAUGACAAUAGUGGAAAUGAAGACGGCAAGCAUCUCUCUGCGCCAUCUCCUCGAAGAAGGUCUUCUGGCACGGGUGACAACAAGUUGGACUUCGAAGUGGGUGACUUUUUUAUGUUCGGUAGUCCGCUUGCACUAGUCCUCGCUUACAGAAAGAUCACCGCAUCGAGCGACAGAAAUAGUUUCAUACCCAGGCCGUUAGUCAAUCAAGUAUACAAUCUGUUUCAUCCUACAGAACCUGUAGCUGCGAGAUUAGAACCCUUGAUCUCAGCAAGAUUUUCCUUAAUUGCGCCGGUUAAUAUUGCUGAAUAUGGAAAGUAUCCGCUCGGCAACGGCCAACCUUAUCACUUGCUGGAGACUAUCCAGACCAAUCCGCAGCUGUACGCUGAUGGAUUGAACGUUCCCAAUUUUCAAAUGUCGCAUUUAAGAAGAUUAUCCGAUAUAUCACUUCAAAGUACAAUGUCAGGCAUUAUCGAUAAUGUUCCUUUACAGGCAGUGUCUGCCCUGAUGCAAAAGUGGUGGGGAACCAAAAGACUAGAUUAUGCGCUCUAUUGUCCAGAGGGUCUCACUAAUUUUCCUACGAAUGCCUUGCCGCAUAUCUUCCACGCUAGUUAUUGGGAGUCUCCGGAUGUGAUCGCGUUUAUUUUGAGGCAAUUGGGCAGAGUCGAUGCACCAUUGCUCGGCAACGAGGAAAAAGAUCUCACUUGCUUCCGUCCAGGUCAACCCAGAGAAAAAUGGAAUAAAAAACGUACCUCCGUUAAAAUUAAGAAUGUUGCUGCCAAUCACAGAGCGAAUGAUGUCAUCGUGAGGGAAGGUGUACCACAAAUAUUAGUCGCUAGGUUUAUGUACAGUCCUAUUGAUAUGAUAACUUUAACAGGUGAGAAAGUUGAUAUCCAUAUUAUGAAAAACGCACCGGCAGGCGAGUGGACAUACCUCUCUACCGAGGUAACUGACAAGAAUGGUAGAAUAAUUUAUAAAAUACCAGAUGACAAAACGUUAGGUUAUGGGCUUUAUCCAAUAAAGAUGAUUGUAAGGGGAGAUCAUACAUCUGUAGAUUUUUUCGUGGCUGUGAUACCGCCGAGAACUGAAUGUGUGGUUUUUAGCAUAGACGGUUCUUUUGCCGCCAGUAAGUCUGUGAGUGGUAAAGAUCCGAAAGUCUGGGCUGGUGCCGUCGACGUUGUGAGGCAUUGGCAGGAAUUGGGUUACCUCAUCAUUUAUAUUACCGCGAGACCCGAUAUGCAACAGCAGACAGUAGUUUCCUGGCUGUCGCAGCAUAAUUUUCCUCACGGUCUCGUUUCAUUUGCCGAUGGCCUGUCCAGGGAUCCGCUCGCCCACAAAGCUGCCUACUUGAAUAAGCUUGUGAAGGAGCACGGUAUGAUAAUCCAUCAGGCGUAUGGCAGCGAGAAAGAUAUUAACGUGUACACGGCGGUAAGUCUCAAACCGAGCCAGAUCUUCAUCAUCGGCAAAGUAUCCAAGAAGCAUCAAGCUAUGGCGACAAUACUGUACGAUGGAUAUGCCGCUCAUUUGAGCACACUGCAAGUGCACGGGGGUUCGCGGCCUGCUCAGGGCAACGCGCGCAUGGUGAUCCCUAGAGGUCAGUUCGUCUUACCAGGACAGAAUGCAUCUCUGCGACGACGAAGUAACGACACAGCGGUGAACUCCCCGGCGCGCAACAGCGUCUACUUAAAGCGGAAAACCUACCUUACUCACAUCUAACACACGCCUAUAAUCUACGUACAAUUUACUUACUCACAUUGGUACCUGCUAUGAGGAUAUGUCGCGUUGUCUCAGCGUAGUUAAAUAUCACUUCUCUGUCUCUAUCUCUCACUUGGCGAAAAGCUGUUGUCGCCAUACCUACGCUCAAACUCAUUGUUUGCCUAUCGGCUAGUACACAAUGUCCAGGAUCUGUGGUUAAUCCGCUCUAUGACCGCUCGCUAGAUACGCCCGGGAAAUAGAGUCGUUUUCGUAAUCCUCCUCGAAAUGAACCGGUCUCACUUUAGCGACGAAGCUCUUUUAGGACGGCAAAGCGUGCGAUCUCACAGCCACCCUUAGGCAAGACAUCCUUCCCAUUGGAACGAUCAUC
Molecule: RNA transcript, 4449 nt
Organism: Trachymyrmex cornetzi
Lineage: Eukaryota; Metazoa; Arthropoda; Insecta; Hymenoptera; Formicidae
Gene: rdgB
Gene name: retinal degeneration B
Exons: 22
Source: RefSeq, a predicted model, not a curated record